AUACGGAGGGUGCAAGCGUUGUUCGGAAUCACUGGGCGUAAAGGGCGCGCAGGCGGUUUGGUAAGUCAGAUGUGAAAGCCCACGGCUCAACCGUGGAAGUGCAUUUGAAACUGCCAGACUUGAGUACCAGAGGGGAAAGUGGAAUUCCCGGUGUAGAGGUGAAAUUCGUAGAUAUCGGGAGGAAUACCGGUGGCGAAGGCGACUUUCUGGCUGGAUACUGACGCUGAGGCGCGAAAGCGUGGGGGGCAAACAGGAUUAGAAACCCUAGUAGUCC
Molecule: ribosomal RNA, 274 nt
Filed under: uncultured bacterium
Lineage: Bacteria
Description: partial 16S ribosomal RNA
Rfam family: Bacterial small subunit ribosomal RNA
Source: RNAcentral